RNAcentral lists this unclassified non-coding RNA (797 nucleotides) under Hevea brasiliensis (rubber tree). Lineage: Eukaryota; Viridiplantae; Streptophyta; Magnoliopsida; Malpighiales; Euphorbiaceae. The record is from RNAcentral.
CGAUUGUUCUUAGCUUCUUAUCAUCCGUUACUCGUCUGAGCUCCGCAUCUCCAGUGGAAGAAGAAGAAGAAUUAUCAGAAGGGAGAAAUGGCGGCCAUGGCUGCACUUCAGAGCUCAAUGAACUCACUUUCUAUCUCUUCCAACUCCUUCUUUGGCCAACGCCUCUCUUUUCCCUCUGUUUCCCCUAUACCCGUCAAGUCACCAGAGAAUACAUGUCUCAUUGUUGUGAGGCUUAAGCAUUGGGAGCGGAAGAAAUGUAAGCCAAACAGCCUUCCAAUUUUACACAAAAUGCAUGUUAAGGUGGGAGAUACAGUUAAAGUGAUAUCUGGAGAUGAUAAAGGGAAGAUUGGAGAGGUUGCUAAGAUCUUCAGGCAUAACAGCACUGUGGUAGUCAAAGAAAUAAAUCUGAAGACAAAGCAUGUGAAGAGCAGAGAAGAGGGAGAACCUGGCCAGAUUAUUAAGAUUGAAUCACCCAUUCACAGCUCAAAUGUGAUGCUUUACUCCAAGGAACAGAAUGUAGCAAGUCGGGUGGGCCAUAAAGUUCUUGACGAUGGGCAGCGAGUUCGUUAUCUCAUUAAAACAGGCGAAGUAAUUGAUAGUGCAGAGUACUGGAAAAAAUUGAAGGAAGAGCAGAACACGAAAACUGAAGUAGCUGCUGCUUCAUGAGAACAUAAUGCAUGACUUGGCUAUUGCUUUAGGUUCUAGAACUCUAGUUGAGUUCUGUCUGUUUUCCUUCUUUCCUGGUCAAAUUGUUCUGGCAUGUGCUUUUGUUAAUUAAUUGUAUCAUUCAAAGUCAC